Molecule: long non-coding RNA, 483 nt
Organism: Bufo bufo (common toad)
Lineage: Eukaryota; Metazoa; Chordata; Amphibia; Anura; Bufonidae
Exons: 6
Source: RefSeq, a predicted model, not a curated record
ACCCCAUAUCUUAGUCCACUUCUCCUCAGCUCCCCUCUGUUUAUACAUGAUUUUCUCAUAGUUUUUUACCUUAUCAAUUAGGUUUAUCCAUAUGUUUAUAUCUGGAGUAUAUUGAGCAAACCAGGUCCGACUGACCAACACUCUGGCCAACAUCAGUAUCCUGCCCAGGAAAAUCUUUUGAUACUUAUGAUUAUUUAUUUUGGAGAGAUCAUUAAGCAAGAAUACUUGUGGUUCAAAAGGGAUUCGUAUUUUUAGUUUAUACAUGAUCAAAUUAUUGAUGGUAUUCCAAUAAUUUAUAAGUUCUGGGCAGGUCCAGAUCAUAUGAAGAUAGUCCGCUCCUGAAGUAUCGCAUUUAGGGCAGUUAGACGUGUCUCUUAGUCCACAUUUGUUCAUCCAUAAAGGAGUGAUAUAUAAUCUGUGGCAAAUAUAAAAUUGUACUAAAACUGUGGGUAAAGUUCUGGGAUAGUGAGUCUAAGUUCCCAA